Anser brachyrhynchus (Pink-footed goose) is the source of this 135-nucleotide small nucleolar RNA. The record is from Ensembl. NCBI's taxonomy places the organism in Eukaryota, Metazoa, Chordata, Aves, Anseriformes, Anatidae.
AAUCCAGUUAAUAAUGUCUGCUCAACUUGAAAGUGUUUUGCAGAGUGUAUUUUAAAAUAAUGCUGGUAAAGUAAAGCCACAGUACGAGCCUUGAAGACUUUGUUGUCUUUGAGGUCCCAAGAGAUGGCUACAUCU